This 626-nucleotide ribosomal RNA is filed under the name uncultured Alphaproteobacteria bacterium. RNAcentral describes it as "bacterial SSU rRNA". It matches the Rfam family "Bacterial small subunit ribosomal RNA", at positions 97 to 758 of the family's 1533-position model. Lineage: Bacteria; Pseudomonadati; Pseudomonadota; Alphaproteobacteria. The record is from RNAcentral.
GGCGGACGGGUGAGUAACACGUGGGAACGUGCCUUAGGAUUCGGAAUAACUCAGGGAAACUUGUGCUAAUACCGAAUGUGCCCUUCGGGGGAAAGAUUUAUCGCCUUUAGAGCGGCCCGCGUCUGAUUAGCUAGUUGGUGAGGUAAAGGCUCACCAAGGCGACGAUCAGUAGCUGGUCUGAGAGGAUGAUCAGCCACAUUGGGACUGAGACACGGCCCAAACUCCUACGGGAGGCAGCAGUGGGGAAUCUUGCGCAAUGGGCGAAAGCCUGACGCAGCCAUGCCGCGUGAAUGAUGAAGGUCUUAGGAUUGUAAAAUUCUUUCACCGGGGACGAUAAUGACGGUACCCGGAGAAGAAGCCCCGGCUAACUUCGUGCCAGCAGCCGCGGUAAUACGAAGGGGGCUAGCGUUGCUCGGAAUUACUGGGCGUAAAGGGAGCGUAGGCGGACAUUUAAGUCAGGGGUGAAAUCCCGGGGCUCAACCUCGGAAUUGCCUUUGAUACUGGGUGUCUUGAGUAUGAGAGAGGUGUGUGGAACUCCGAGUGUAGAGGUGAAAUUCGUAGAUAUUCGGAAGAACACCAGUGGCGAAGGCGACACACUGGCUCAUUACUGACGCUGAGGCUCGAAA